RNAcentral lists this long non-coding RNA (718 nucleotides) under Homo sapiens (human). Its description in RNAcentral is "non-protein coding lnc-NPY1R-5:1". Lineage: Eukaryota; Metazoa; Chordata; Mammalia; Primates; Hominidae. The record is from RNAcentral.
UUUUGAAUGAAUGAAUUAUGGAACAUUGUCUUCUGUUUUUUAUUGGCUCUGAUAAUAUAUAUAAUUUGCUUAGUCCUUGAUACUCUUACCUUUGGCACCCUUUUGCAUCUGAUACUAUGAUGAAUUUUAAGUCUAAACUGGAAGUCAGACUCAUAUCUGAAGGCUGAUUACUGGCCUGUGUUAAUUAAAGUCAUUAAGCAUUUAUCAAAAAAUGCUUUAUUUUUAUACCAUGUCUAAUUCAGAUAUAGAAAAUAUUAAGUAUCAAAAAGACAACUUUUUUUAGAGUCAUUGAUGCAUAAUAGGCUUAUUUUCUUCACCUCCAAGUAUGUACUAUUGAAUUGGCAAAUUCAUGUAACAUAAACCUAUUAUAUACUUUUCUCUGCAAGGCCUUAGAUUUUAGUGAUGAUGAAAAAGAGAAGGAAGCCAAACAGAGGAAAAAAUCUCAGAUUCAAGGCCGGAAAAAACUCAAAUCUGAAUUUAAUGAGCCUGGUGAAGAUUUUACUGAAGUACAUCAGAAUUGGAAUGCUCAUAGCUCUGCUUCAGAGCAUGCAAAAGGAUAUCGUAACAGAGAAUUCACACGAGGAUUUUCCAGGGCCAGAUACCCUCGAUCUUGCCAUGGCAGGCCUCCACCUCAGCAUUUCUAUAACUCAGAACAUAUGGUAUCUCAGGAGACUUCAGGAUUUCCUUCUCAGAGACAAAAUAAUCCCAUUAUGCCACA